RNAcentral lists this ribosomal RNA (1446 nucleotides) under uncultured marine cyanobacterium. RNAcentral's name for it is "bacterial SSU rRNA". It matches the Rfam family "Bacterial small subunit ribosomal RNA". The record is from RNAcentral. Lineage: Bacteria; Bacillati; Cyanobacteriota.
GAGUUUGAUCAUGGCUCAGGAUGAACGCUGGCGGCGUGCUUAACACAUGCAAGUCGAACGAACCUUCGGGUUAGUGGCGGACGGGUGAGUAACGCGUGGGAAUCUGCCCUCAGGAGGGGGAUAACGGUUGGAAACGACCGCUAAUACCCCAUAUGCCGAGAGGUGAAAUGAAUUUCGCCUGAGGAUGAGCCCGCGUCUGAUUAGCUUGUUGGUGAGGUAAUGGCUCACCAAGGCAUCGAUCAGUAGCUGGUCUGAGAGGAUGAUCAGCCACACUGGGACUGAGACACGGCCCAGACUCCUACGGGAGGCAGCAGUGGGGAAUUUUCCGCAAUGGACGAAAGUCUGACGGAGCAACGCCGCGUGAGGGACGAAGGCCUCUGGGCUGUAAACCUCUUUUCUCAAGGAAGAAGAUAUGGCGGUACUUGAGGAAUAAGCCACGGCUAAUUCCGUGCCAGCAGCCGCGGUAAUACGGGAGUGGCAAGCGUUAUCCGGAGUUAUUGGGCGUAAAGCGUCCGCAGGCGGCCUUUCAAGUCUGCUGUUAAAGCGUGGAGCUUAACUCCAUCAUGGCAGUGGAAACUGAUUGGCUUGAGUAUGGUAGGGGUAGAGGGAAUUCCCGGUGUAGCGGUGAAAUGCGUAGAUAUCGGGAAGAACACCAGUGGCGAAGGCGCUCUACUGGGCCAUUACUGACGCUCAUGGACGAAAGCCAGGGGAGCGAAAGGGAUUAGAUACCCCUGUAGUCCUGGCCGUAAACGAUGAACACUAGGUGUCGGGGGGAAUCGACCCCUUCGGUGUCGUAGCUAACGCGUUAAGUGUUCCGCCUGGGGAGUACGCACGCAAGUGUGAAACUCAAAGGAAUUGACGGGGGCCCGCACAAGCGGUGGAGUAUGUGGUUUAAUUCGAUGCAACGCGAAGAACCUUACCAGGGCUUGACAUCCUGCGAACCUUUAAGAAAUUAGAGGGUGCCUUCGGGAACGCAGUGACAGGUGGUGCAUGGCUGUCGUCAGCUCGUGUCGUGAGAUGUUGGGUUAAGUCCCGCAACGAGCGCAACCCACGUUUUUAGUUGCCAGCAUUUAGUUGGGCACUCUAGAAAGACCGCCGGUGAUAAACCGGAGGAAGGUGUGGAUGACGUCAAGUCAUCAUGCCCCUUACGUCCUGGGCUACACACGUACUACAAUGCUACAGACAAAGGGCAGCAAACUCGCGAGAGCUAGCAAAUCCCAUAAACCGUGGCUCAGUUCAGAUCGUAGGCUGCAACUCGCCUACGUGAAGUAGGAAUCGCUAGUAAUCGCAGGUCAGCAUACUGCGGUGAAUACGUUCCCGGGCCUUGUACACACCGCCCGUCACACCAUGGAAGUUGGCCACGCCCGAAGUCGUUACUUUAACCCUUGUGGAGAAGGACGCCGAAGGUGGGGCUGAUGACUGGGGUGAAGUCGUAACAAGGUAACC